Molecule: ribosomal RNA, 589 nt
Filed under: uncultured bacterium
Lineage: Bacteria
Description: bacterial SSU rRNA
Rfam family: Bacterial small subunit ribosomal RNA
Source: RNAcentral
CCUACGGGAGGCAGCAGUAGGGAAUUUUCCGCAAUGGGCGAAAGCCUGACGGAGCAAUACCGCGUGAGGGAUGACGGCCUGUGGGUUGUAAACCUCUUUUCUCAAGGAAGAAGUUCUGACGGUACUUGAGGAAUAAGCAUCGGCUAACUCUGUGCCAGCAGCCGCGGUAAUACAGAGGAUGCAAGCGUUAUCCGGAAUCACUGGGCAUAAAGCGUCUGUAGGUUGUUUAGUAAGUCUGCUGUUAAAGACUGGGGCUUAACCCCAGAAAAGCAGUGGAAACUGCUAGACUCGAGUGUGGUAGAGGUAGAGGGAAUUCCUAGUGUAGCGGUGAAAUGCGUAGAUAUUAGGAAGAACACCAAUGGCGAAGGCACUCUACUGGGCCAUAACUGACACUGAGAGACGACAGCUAGGGGAGCAAACGGGAUUAGAUACCCCGGUAGUCCUAGCCGUAAACGAUGGAUACUAGAUGUUGCACGUAUUAACCCGUGCAGUAUCGUAGCUAAGGCGUUAAGUAUCCGCCUGGGAAGUCGCUCGCAAGNGNGAACACAAGAAGUAGAGCGNGAGAGUGCGAGACGACGACGAGGGAGAG